UACAUGGGGUGCAAACGUUGCUCGGAAUUAUUGGGCGUAAAGCGCACGUAGGCGGUUCGUUAAGUCGGAUGUGAAAGCCCUCGGCUCAACUGAGGAAGUGCACCCGAAACCUGGCGAGCUUGAGUACGAAAGAGGAUCGCGGAAUUCCCGGUGUAGAGGUGAAAUUCGUAGAUAUCGGGAGGAACACCGGUGGCGAAGGCGGCGAUCUGGGUCGAUACUGACGCUGAGGUGCGAAAGCGUGGGGAGCAA
RNAcentral lists this ribosomal RNA (249 nucleotides) under uncultured bacterium. RNAcentral's name for it is "partial 16S ribosomal RNA". It matches the Rfam family "Bacterial small subunit ribosomal RNA", at positions 524 to 771 of the family's 1533-position model. The record is from RNAcentral.